RNAcentral lists this transfer RNA (72 nucleotides) under Ixodes scapularis (black-legged tick). RNAcentral's name for it is "tRNA-Glu". It matches the Rfam family "tRNA". From Rfam's summary of the family: Transfer RNA (tRNA) molecules are approximately 80 nucleotides in length. Their secondary structure includes four short double-helical elements and three loops (D, anti-codon, and T loops). The record is from RNAcentral. Lineage: Eukaryota; Metazoa; Arthropoda; Arachnida; Ixodida; Ixodidae.
UCCGGCGUGGUCUAGUGGCUAGGAUACCUGGCUUUCACCCAGGCGGCCCGGGUUCGAUUCCCGGCGUCGGAA